Molecule: ribosomal RNA, 464 nt
Filed under: uncultured bacterium
Lineage: Bacteria
Description: SSU rRNA
Rfam family: Bacterial small subunit ribosomal RNA
Source: RNAcentral
AGGAUUAACGCUGGCGGCGUGCCUAACACAUGCAAGUCGAACGAGGUAGCAAUACCUAGUGGCAGACGGGUGAGUAACACGUGGUCAACCUACCGCUUUGUGGGGGAUAACUAGCCGAAAGGUUAGCUAAUACCGCAUACGUCGCAGGCCGGCAUCGGUCGACGAUAAAAGGAGCAAUCCGCAAGGUGACGGGACCGCGUCCCAUUAGCUAGUUGGUGAGGUAAUGGCCCACCAAGGCUCCGAUGGGUAGCUGGUUUGAGAGAGCGACCAGCCACACUGGGACUGAGAUACGGCCCAGACUCCUACGGGAGGCAGCAGUGAGGAAUUUUCCGCAAUGGGCGAAAGCCUGACGGAGCGACGCCGCGUGUGGGAAGAAGGCCUUCGGGUCGUAAACCACUGUCGAAGGGGAAGAUAUUGACGGUACCCUUGGAGGAAGCCCCGGCUAACUACGCGCCAGCAGCCGC